Molecule: ribosomal RNA, 301 nt
Filed under: uncultured bacterium
Lineage: Bacteria
Description: partial 16S ribosomal RNA
Rfam family: Bacterial small subunit ribosomal RNA
Source: RNAcentral
CAGUAGCCACGGUAAUACGAAGGGUGCAAGCGUUAAUCGGAAUUACUGGGCGUAAAGCGCGCGUAGGUGGUUUGGUAAGAUGGAUGUGAAAUCCCCGGGCUCAACCUGGGAACUGCAUCCAUAACUGCCUGACUAGAGUACGGUAGAGGGUGGUGGAAUUUCCUGUGUAGCGGUGAAAUGCGUAGAUAUAGGAAGGAACACCAGUGGCGAAGGCGACCACCUGGACUGAUACUGACACUGAGGUGCGAAAGCGUGGGGAGCAAACAGGAUUAGAUACCCGCGUAGUCCCUGUCUCUUAUAC